Molecule: ribosomal RNA, 518 nt
Filed under: Ceratocomboides sp. 12 SL-2016
Lineage: Eukaryota; Metazoa; Arthropoda; Insecta; Hemiptera; Ceratocombidae
Description: eukaryotic LSU rRNA
Rfam family: Eukaryotic large subunit ribosomal RNA
Source: RNAcentral
AAGGAGUCUAACAUGUGCGCAAGUCAUUGGGUUAAUAAAACCUAAAGGCAAAAUAAAAGUAAAGAAAGCUUUGCUUUAUUAGGGAGGAUGAUUAUUAACAAAUAUGUUGUAAUCCGCACUCCCGGGGUGUCUAUUACUCAUUGCGAGUAUGGGCACACCUAGAGCGUACACGUUGGGACCCGAAAGGUGGUGAACUAUGCCUGGCCAGGAUGAAGCCAGGGGAAACCCUGGUGGAGGUCCGUAGCGAUUCUGACGUGCAAAUCGAUCGUCAGAGCUAGGUAUAGGGGCGAUAGACUUAUCGAACCAUCUAGUAGCUGGUUCCCUCCGAAGUUUCCCUCAGGAUAGCUGGUGUCCUUGAUGAGACGAGUCUCAUCUGGUAAAGCGAAUGAUUAGAGGCCCUUGGGGUCGAAACGACCUCAACCUAUUCUCAAACUUUAAAUGGAUGAGAGCUCUGGCUUGCUUAAAAAGUGAAGCCAGAGACUCGGAUCCAAGAUACCAAGUGGGCCAAUUUUGGUAAG